This 21-nucleotide transfer RNA is filed under the name Epibulus insidiator (slingjaw wrasse). RNAcentral describes it as "partial tRNA-Phe". The record is from RNAcentral. Lineage: Eukaryota; Metazoa; Chordata; Actinopteri; Labriformes; Labridae.
CCCUAGAAAGCUCCGAUGACA